GAUGAACGCUAGCGGCAGGCUUAACACAUGCAAGUCGAGGGGCAGCACGUCUUCGGAUGGUGGCGACCGGCGCACGGGUGCGUAACGCGUAUAGAACCUACCUUUUACAGGGGAAUAGCCCAGAGAAAUUUGGAUUAAUGCCCCAUAGUAUUAUUAGAUGGCAUCAUUUGAUAAUUAAACAUUUAUGGGUAAAAGAUGGCUAUGCGUUCUAUUAGCUAGAUGGUAAGGUAACGGCUUACCAUGGCGACGAUAGAUAGGGGUCCUGAGAGGGAGAUCCCCCANACUGGUACUGAGACACGGACCAGACUCCUACGGGAGGCGGCAGUGAGGAAUAUUGGACAAUGGGCGAGAGCCUGAUCCAGCCAUGCCGCGUGCAGGAAGACGGUCCUAUGGAUUGUAAACUGCUUUUAUACAGGAAGAAACACUCCCUCGUGAGGGAAUUUGACGGUACUGUAUGAAUAAGCACCGGCUAACUCCGUGCCAGCAGCCGACGG
This 494-nucleotide ribosomal RNA is filed under the name uncultured bacterium. Its description in RNAcentral is "bacterial SSU rRNA". It matches the Rfam family "Bacterial small subunit ribosomal RNA", at positions 28 to 520 of the family's 1533-position model. The record is from RNAcentral.